Gallus gallus (chicken) is the source of this 9532-nucleotide long non-coding RNA. RefSeq lists it as uncharacterized. NCBI's taxonomy places the organism in Eukaryota, Metazoa, Chordata, Aves, Galliformes, Phasianidae. The record is from RefSeq and is a predicted model, not a curated record. The transcript is spliced from 2 exons.
GUACUUCCACAGCCUUCUUCUUGUAGUUUGUUUUCCCAUUUGGGUUUACCAGGUCUCCACACUCUUCAUUUUAAGGCAGCUUUCUGGCUGGUUUCUCCAGGCUAUUCUGACAGGCACAGCCUCCAAGUUUUCCUCCCCUACAGUUGCUGCUACUACCGCCUGAAUACUUGUGUGGAACGUCUCUGAUGACAAAGCAGAGGCAGAAGAAAAAGAAGAGGGGAAAAAAAGAACGAGAACCUCAGGUGACUUUCAGACCCCGCUGGGGAGCUCAGACAUCCUCACAUCCUCACUGACUUCCUAUCUCUUUCCAAUCUUACCUGGGAACAAGUCUUGUUUCUCGACUACAUUUUCUGCUUCCCUCCUUGUGCUUUUUCAAACAGAGGAAAGAAAAUGCAGCAAGAAACACUUAACUUCUCUGUAUCAUUCCAAUUUUAGUAUAUGUGCUGCCAAAGCGAGCACUUCAUGGCAUUGUCUGAUUUUACACACUGAGCGCUUGCUCCAGCUUGGGGAGCAGACAGGGUUUGAACCACUCAGAGAAGCAGAAUUGAGAUGUAGCAAGAAAAGGCGCAUGGUAAAUAUUGGGUGAAGCUUUUAACGUAGUGAGGAGAUGACUGAAAGAGAAUUCACAUGACAGAGGGUUUGCAGGAAAUUGACUGUGCUAAAAUAAAUAGCACAUGCAGUAUGAAGGGUUAAGCACCCAGUGUUUACAAGUGUAGAACAGGCUGUGCACAUCCAAGUCACAUUAGAUUGCACUUACUUAUUCAUUUUGGUUGUCGGCUGCCGCAGGCGAGAAAAGACAAAACAGAAUUUCAGCAUUUGGACUUGUAUUUACCUUUUCCUCUCCUCUCCUUUCUUUUUCUUUUCCAAACACAGAAGGCUCAAAUAAGUGACUGUAGUGUCCCUGGGUGUAAAAGAAGCUGGCUUGUGUCAGUCCUAUCUGCCAGGACGGACGCUGUGUGCUCUUCUUUCAUAUUUCUAUUCAUUACAUUUCACUCCUAAUUUAUAUAGCCAGUUAGCCAGUAACUUGCACGAGUCUGACAGCAGCAUCUACCUGUGCCUGCCUAUUUAAUGGCUUGUCAGCAAUACCAUUAUAAAAUCCCUUUUUUUAUGGAUGCAUAACAUGGUCAUAAAAUGUGUUUUCCUAGCUUCAGAAUUGUCCAACACGAUUUCAUCUCCAUGAGCACUUUAUUUCAAAAAAGUAGCAUGAUACAACGCGUGAUGAAAAUAUAUUACCAGGCAUUUCUCACUGAUCCCUGCCUACCCCUUCCAGAACAGAGGUCUUUCCUUAAGACUCCCAGCCCCCAGCCUUGCUGAAUGCAAAGCUCUAGUCUCUGCAGAGCAGCUCUAUCUAUGUGUGAGGUAGGUUUAAAUAAAACCAGCCCAUAUGCAUGAAUAGCUCAGCACCCACUCCAGUUGAACUCACCAACCAGUUUAGGAGGGACCAGGCUGUGUCCCCACAGAUGGAAAAUCAGAUACGUGAUGUUGCAUGGCUGCCACCUACCUGUUUCACAUGAGCUCCUCACUGGAGCAUUUCCACCUUCCUGAACUAAUUGGAACAAAUAGAAACAAGCGUCACUGAGCUGGGUGCACUUCAUGCUGUUGAUGCAAGAGAAAUUUAUCCCUAUCAUGACCCCUCUAUGGUAGAGUCAACACGUCCCUGUGCUGGGGGCUGAGCAGAUUCAGGAGGCACAUGAGUUCUCCACCAAACUCCUCUCUGGAGGGCACAAUUUUUACACAGAAUGCUGCUGUGAUGUAAGUGAUUGUACGAGGGCUGCUCUGACAGUAAUGUCUCCUAUGUUAUUAAGUUGGCCCAUGAUGUCAGAGGCAGAUGUUGGUGGUAUGGCAAUAGAGGUUGAACCUUCCCACCAGUAUCCCAUUACAUUUUGUUGCCGUGCAACAGAUGGCAGCACAGGAGUAGUCUGACAAAAUGGCGUCUGACAUGAAAGUGCAUGGGAAGAAAUGGUGUGUCAUUGAAUUCCUCCAUGUGGAAAACAUGGCACUCACUGGCAUUCACUGAUGCUUGCUGAAUGUUUCUGAAGACCAAACAGUGGAUAUGAGCAUAGUGAGGCAGUGGCUGAUGCAUUUCAGCAGUGGCAACAGUAACAGCGGGUCACCUCUGCUGGUGUGGAGCUGAGAAUUUGCUCUAUGAAACUGUUAUUGUGCUCUUUGUAUCCUGUAGUUUCCAUAAUAAAUAAAUAAAAUAAAAUAAACUAGGAAAUAAAUAGGAGGCAUUACUUUCAGAGUGACCUAUGUAAAUAUAUAUAUGUGGUCUCUUGCUCACUUGUCCUGAAAAAAAAUCUAGGCCUAAGUCUUAGAAUUGAUCCUCAAAAUUACUAGUCCUAGAUUUACAAUUUUCUCCUUUCUUCUCAAAGGCAUUCAAGAACCACAAGUCUUGUUUCUAAAGAUCAUGGGAUACAAUUUUGGCUGCAUGGAUGUAAAAACCAACAGACAAGCAAACCAGCCCUUCCAUUCCUACCAAUUGAACCCAUGGUUUGGGGGACACUAUUUUUUUAAUCUCACUGCAGAAUGCACAGUGCUGACUUUAAUAUCAAACUAUUCCAAAAUUAUAUUUUAACCUCGAACAACUGCAAGACAUAGAAAGGUAUUUUUAAAGGAAAAAAAAAAAAAAAGAAAAAAAAAGAAAAGGGGUAUAAAGAGCACUGUUUGCACUGUAAAUAAAACAUCUGGUUUCAGUUCCCUAACACUCCGGACCUAAUUCUUCCUAAAUGUUGGUAACUCUGAACUCUCUGUAUCCUUGAUGGAUGAGCUGGGCUAACCGCAGUCAAAUGAAGGAAUGGCAUUUUUCAUGCUUCUGGCAGCACGGCAAGUCUUUAAUCUAUUGCUUAAAUGAGUGCUCCCUAUGAAAAAAAAAUGCACGAUAAAGGAUGCAAACCCACAAGUAAUGCCAUGCACAGUCUUAAUGCUUUCUGAUGGGAGGAGCCACAGGACAAGCUGAGAAGAGCAUUGACCCCAUGUGCAGUCCUAUGGAGAUUCCAUUUCCUGGCCUGAGCUUCACUUUAUAUUUGAACAAACACAAAGGUCUGCCCCAUUAAUGCUACCAAACAAAAAAGAGGCCUCAACCCAAGUUGUUGGCUUUCUCCAGAUCUAACACACAAAGCUUUGCAUGUUCACGGCGACAAGACCCUCCAUGAAGUUGAGGCCUUCUGCUCCCAAGAGUUUAUUCUCUGCUGGUGCAGAGCACGUUUCAGUUCCAGCUGUAACGAGAUGAGUUUCUUCUGCCUGUUUGUGACCUGACAGAGGCCGUGGUGAGAGGCUGCUCAACAGCUGGUGGGAACAUUUUUCUUCUCAGUGAUAAGUGUAUUUGGACACUUGAUUUAGUAGAGCCAAUAAGGGCCAACUAUGUUAUAUGAGGCAAGUAGGGAAGAGUGUAAAUCCUCCUACUCGCAUGACCAGUUUCAUCCCACAUGCCUAAUUAUUCAGGCAAUCUCCAAAGACUUCUGUGGGCAGCCUUCAUCAUGCAUCUUCUGAGCUCUUAGGCUAAAUGUUUCUUUUACAGCACUCACUGAUGUGGUUAAAAGGCCGAAUCCAAGCCUAUUUUACAAUGUUUGCUUUCUACAUGGGGUGCUUCUGUAUAUAUAUAUAUAUAUAUAUAUUUGAAAUCUGAAUUUACAGUGACUACUCAAGGUAUUUAGAAAUGUUGUACAGUAGAUAAACUCUAAUUUCAAACACAGCCUGUAUACUUUCUAAUGGAGAACACAUACCUAGGAAAUUCUUCAAUCACCAUGCAUAAACACUUUUCCGCUUGAAACCGUUUGAAAGCAAAUAAACCAGAAAUUUAUAGGGCUACAUUAAGACACAAAGUUUACAGUGCUGAUGCUUAUGGAUAAUAGUAAAUGUCCUCAAAGCACAACGUCACCAAACAGAGAAGCUGCCCUUCCCAGCAAAGCAGCUGAAGGACCGUCAGAAUAAUAAUGCUCAGUGUAUAUUAAACUUCCUGAGCGGAAAUGCAGGGAGAGGUGCUGGGCUCUUCUCCGUGGGAACCGAUGACAGGAUGCGAAGGAACAGCACAAGGCUGAACCAGGAUUGGACAUUAGGAGAAAUUUCUUUAGCAUGAGGGUGAUGUAACACUGGAACAGGCUUCCUAUUGAGAUAGUGGAUGCCCCAUACCUGUCAGUGUUCAGGGGGAAAUUGGGCAAUGCCCUAAAUAAUAUACUUCAACUUCUGCAUAGCCCUGAAGUGCUCAAGCAGUUGGACUAGACGAUCUUUGCAGGGCCCAUCCAACCAAACUAUUCUAUUCCAUAGUAUAGGUGCUUCUGAAGCCUUUAUUAAGACAGCCUUAUUUCCAAGUAACCAGAAUGCACAGCUCACAGUUGUUUGAAGAAUAUUUCUGAUAUUACAUAUGGUGCAUACAGAAAGAACAAACUAUUAUUGCAAGAGUCGAAGAACGUGCUUUGUUCAUGCUGUGCGUUUCAGUAGAUAAAUCAUUCUAUAGACUCAAGUUAAAAAGAAUAAUUUUAUGGCCCAGUUUACUAUGUAAAAUACUCUUUUUAAUCCUUGUAAAAAUAAGCUUCGCGUUAAUCCUCCUGUCUGAAAGCAAUUUUGCAGACGACUUUGAACAUUUCUAUCACAUUUUAUUAGCUUUAAGCUGAUCUAAUUUCUCUAAUUUUCAUCAGGUUUAUUAUGAUCUGUCCAGAUAUCGGAUUUUUACAGUUGAUCUGGUUUUAUAUAAAACCCUCAAUCUGGUACAUUUUAAUUUCCCCAGCAGACAUCUGUCUUCAUCCACAUCUUGUAAAGAACUAAGCACCUUCUUGGCCCCUAAUUAAUUAGAAGCAAUGACCCACGCAUCAGGUAGUAAUAGCAUCCAAUUAGUGGAAAUGUAUGAUGCUUGCAGAAGCAUUAUCAGUCGCAUCAGAGCACAGAGAGAUUUGCUUGUUCAUGCUGCAUGCCCUGGAUGCGAUGUACCAACAAUCUGUAGCCAUGACAGUGUGCUAACACAGACUAAAAAAUCCUACCCCUUGGCCUAGUCUUUUUAAUGUGAAUUUCUAAACACAUUCAGAUGCUAAUAUUUUGCACAUUUAUGACUGCCAUCAGAAAUGCCGUAUCUUCAAGCCUUAAAUACGCUUACCAUCAAACUCAUAGCGGUAAGAUGGAGGUUUGUUAAACAUGUGAGCUAGAACCUGCUGGGCACAGGAAGGCUUUGAAGCAUUCACAACUCCCCUGUGGAAGACUCUUCUCUUCCUGAACAAAGCUUGAAUCUGAUCCCAGAGGCCAGAAACUUCCAUGCCUGUGGGCUGCAGUCACAGAACGACCCAGUUCUCAACAACUAACAAAUUUCCAAGAGGUUUUUGCUGCACAUGUACAGAUCCCAUGUGGAGUCAUUCCAAGAUAUCAAUGAACUGUGUUUCUUAUGAUGCUUUGCAAACAAUUUUGUUAAUACAAUUCACCAUGAAGUAAAUAUGCAGUACCUCCCACAUAAAACAGCAGGAGUUGCACGUAUGUAUUGUAGCAGAGUUUUCUCUCAAUAGCUUUCUGUUGGACUUAAACAGUGACACAGAAAAGUCAAUAGGAAGCUCAAAUUUACAAUUUUCUGUUUGAUGGGAGAAGAGUAGGCACAAAUUGUAACUGACAUCAUAGAGAAGUUCAGAAAUUACUGAAGUACUGAAACAUGGCGAUGUCUGGGACGAUGAAGAUUGUUCUUUGAGUAUCUCUGAAAUACAUUUGCUUGCUCUGAGAAUUCACUUAAUUACAAUUCACCGAAGCUGUGUCUCUGGACUAGCUCUGUAUCAGCAUCCAUAAAAAGCUGGAGUUCAUCCAGACUGAGCACACUGCCACUUGAUAUAACUAACAUGAUCGGCAAUUCAACUCCUAAUAUUGAUUCAAGGAAAGAUGGCACAGAAAAGUGCUGGAGCUAAAAGAUGGAACCAGGCUUGCCAAGGGGCUGCAGCAAGCAGGCUCCAGAAGGCUGAGGAAGCUAAAGCCUCAGUGCUUCAAUUUCCGGUCACCAAGACUGGGGAAAGCCAGAUGUUGACCACUGUGCCUCCAGCUCUGCUACCUUAUGCAGAAGGACGGAGCCUGGACUCAGCAUCUCAUUCUGUUCUCCACCACCACCACCACUCUGGCUUCAUAGCAACAUGGUGGGAAGGAUUUGAAUGCAGACAAAACAAGGGUAUAAGUAUUUACAAUAAUGGCUUCAGGUCUAACCAUAAAUGGUCAUUAAAAAAUGGGAAGCAAGAGCGCUUCUUAUGCGCAUUUAGAAAGAACUAUCAUUGUGCAGAAAGGAAAUUCAUGCAAACUAGUCCAUGUUGCCUGUAUAUGCCCAAUCAUCCCAUGCUCUCUGCUAAUUUGAUGACUGAAAGCACACCCUGUCAUCAAAAUGCCAAGAAAUCCUCAUAGAGUCUCAUCCUAUUAAAAAAAUCCCCAGAAGCUUCCUAUUGAUUUUAAUGAAAGCAGAAAAUGCCUUUAGAGAACAAAGAUGAAACAUUUUUAGACUCAGCUUUCAUAGAUUUUCACUGCUUUUCCAAUGGUGUGAUAUCCAGAAGGCUGUGGAAGUACACAGUUACACAACUACACUUGAUUAGGAUUUAACUUUACCUAUUCUUAUUCAUCUCAUUUCAUUUUUAAACAAGAUUUUCAAAUAAGGCACAUUCAGGCUUUUAAGUCAAUACUUAAAAUCUAGAUUUGUAUAGAUUUAGUCUAAAUAUUUAUUUUGACCAUUAGGCUUACGUCAAAUAAGAGUAUCCAGCUAAAUUAAUAUAAUCAUUCAAUAAUAUUAAUCCAGUGUGUGAAUUCAGACAAACCUUCAAAAAGUAAAAGCAUUAACAGAGCACCAAGCUUUGUAGAAAAGAAUGAAAUGAGAACGUGGUGAGAAGAAAUCAUUUACUGCCAUAAACUGUUUUGAGAAACUGGCCAACUCCUGGGACAAAGCCCCUCGAUACGACCACCCACAGGACACAGGCACAAGGAAACUGCCUGUGAAAGGGAAUGGGGAAAAGAACUGCCCGUGUUUGGUUUAUUUGUUAUUUCAUUGAAAUAAUUGAUCCCUGAUGCUAAAAGAUAGCAGCACUGGUGGGAUUCAAAUACUCCAGACAUUAAUGAAGUCUCUCACUCUCUGGCAAUGGAUUUAAACUGCUUCUACUCCCACUGCACAGUGCCUUCAGCAAAAGAGGCAAUGGUUUACUAUUAAAGUAGGGCAAGUGUUCACAGUGAGAAGGUUAUAAUUGAAAGAGCAAAGCAAGGUCACCCUGUUCAGACUCACCAAUAUGUAAAACAUGCUCCUGGCCACAGGAAGAGCUACAGGAGUGGACCAGAACUCACAUUUACAUACAAAAAAACAAAAAAUAAAACCCAAACAACCCAACAACCAAACACAAAAAUCCCCAACAAAUCCAAGGCAACGAAACUGCUGAUUUCAAAGGCCAUUGCUCAGUCUGAGUACAUCUGGAAAAAAAAUGCAGCUGGUCAAUUAGGUGAUUAAACAAACACCUCCCCCCUUGAAAAACAGCUCUGCUCAGCAGGAACAUUGUUUGCUUAUUUGAAGAAGUUCCUUAACUGGUAAUGUCUUUUUCAUAUCCUUCCAGUCUAGGUCAAAUCCUGAGAAGCUGUUUAAUAACUGCUGACAGAGCAGUUUACCACACGUGUUAGAGGGCUUUAGACACCCGAAAUGCCAUGCCCUGCAUCCAUCACGUGGGCCACAUCCAGAAUCCCUCCUGUGUGGUAAGAAUAGAUCUGAGCUCUAGGAAGUGCUGUAGGUAUUCGACUGGUAGCAUAAAUGAAACCUUUCAUUAAGGUUUGAAUAAUCUUUGAAGCAACGACAGGAGGAAAAACAUCCACUUGGAAGGAACAACCACCUUUGUGCAAAAGAACCAGUGAUCCUUGUCCCUUCCAGCACUGCUUCUAGGUAGCAGUGUGCAAUGGCCAUAAACCAGUGGGCGACAUCAUAAUUUCUAGCACAAGCCAGGACUCUCUUCUUAAGUAUUAUAAUAAUAUUCAUAUAGAACUCCCAGAGUGGUCUGGUUGGCCUGACAGGGUUCCGCACUUCUAUUAAUAAUGCUUUGCUUGAACUUACUGGAUCUUCUAUUUGAUUUAUUAAGUCCUUCACAAGCUUUGGAGUGAUAUGCACAGACACUCAAAUAUCUGCACACAGGAGUUGCUUCACCCAGCCCUGAAGAAGUAGGGUGACACAGCACCUGUUGUCUCUGCACCACCAACCCUACACAGCAACAUCUUUUGACGUACGACCGUGACCAAUUAAAUAAAAGGAACAUUUUAAAUACGCAGAAGGUAAUAGGGCUGGAUCAUGGCCAGCACAGUGAAGCAGGGGAACCAUUCUUUGUAAAAAACUGUACAUUGUUUAGGAAAGUUGAAUGUCUGGAAGCUUUCGAGAGCUUCACACUGGCUGCACUGCAGUACUGGGACAUUCGCAUGUGUGGUGCUCUCUUCCCACCACAGUGUAAGACAGUCGCAAGGCCCUGGGUGAGACUAUUUGUUUCAAAAGGAUAUCUGGAAAUAAAUGGCUUUCUAACCUACUCCUUCUUAGCUGUAAUCACCUCUAUCUUAAUUGGGCCCUAUUUAUUUGAAUCAAGAAUAGAUAAAUGAGGAAUCAGGACUGUGCUGCCACUGUCACACCAUUAUUUUUCCUUUCAUCCCAGGGAAUUACCAAAUCCUGCCUCUUACAGAAGAACUUAUAUCAUUUUUCAUGAUUCCUGUCUUCUUUGCCAGUGGCUUCUUCUUCUUUUUUUUUUUUUUUCAAGUGGAAGACAAAGUAGGAAGAAAGAGUUUGGUGAAUAAUAGGGAGAGAUAACUUAGAAAUAAGUCACUCCCUAAUGGCUACAUGACAAUUACUAGAAGCACUACAUUUCUACAUGGUAAAGCAGCAAAGCUUUGAUGCCAGAGCCCAGUGAUAGCAGAGGGAGGAAAAAGGUCUUAGCUCUUCUGCGUGGAUCUGGAGACUCAAAGAUAUUUUCUUUUUGUGCAUUUAAAGUCUCAUCUUUUUCUUCUAUAAACCCGAGAUGUAGGGCACUUCCAACUCCAACUGGCUUCCAGCUGAGCCUGUGCCACUGCACCCUCAUCCCUCCCACCCACCCAAAGGAUUUCAACAUGAAAAGCCCCUGACCUCUUUCAGAGGGAACAGGAUGCAGCAAAAAUGAAUUAACUAUUUGUGAUGGCCUCACCCUCUCCAAGUGCCCUUCCAAAUCCCAGCCCUUCGAUGGCUCUACAGUGAACUGAGCCUUUUGUUCCUGGCACGCUGGAAGGAGGUCUGAGCAUUAGUUUUGCUUACUCUGGUAAAUCACUCUUCAAAUGCCUUUUUAAGCUUCCCUAAGUGCAUUCAAUCUUUUAAAUUCAAUCUGCCAGAGUUAAAGUCUCUCCUAAUUUUUCUUUAUUAGAGCAGGACACCAGCUUUUUGAAUGAUGCCUCUCAUUCCUAAUAACCUCCCUGAGCACAGUACAGAUGCUGCACCUCUCCUCACUCCUGGCAGCAUGUCCUGACCUCUUUACCUCUCUCUCUCUCUUUUUUUUUUUUAAGCUGAGUACAAAUUUGCAAAAAUAUUUCUAAUUUAGCUCAAGAUAAAAUA